CCCUAAUACCCAAAGCCUCUUCUAUCACCAGUUUCCUUUUUACUGAAACAGUAUCUGGAUGAGGAAAGAUGCGAUGAGGGGGUGAUAUAUGGAAGAAACAGGAUUCAAGGCAAGUCAGAGCACUUGACCAGGGGCAUUCUCGGAAAUGCAUGAGCUUCAUCUGCUGUAUUUUGCUGGGCUAGUUCUGCCUACUUCUAACUCCCUUAUAAGACCAUGGAAAUGCUGAAUCACAGUGACAACUGAAUGGGGGAAUGAAAACCAGGAAUAGAGAAGUGUUUCCUUCUCUGUUAUUUAGGAUGAUAAAGCAUCAUUCUGAGAGAAGACUUGCAAAGCUACAUCUAGGGAACCUCUGUCCACUGAGAGUUUAACAUUAAGAUUACACAAAAUUUAGAAUGCAAGGGCUAGCAGAGAACUU
This 415-nucleotide long non-coding RNA is filed under the name Homo sapiens (human). RNAcentral's name for it is "HSALNT0120830". The record is from RNAcentral. Lineage: Eukaryota; Metazoa; Chordata; Mammalia; Primates; Hominidae.